AUGCCCUUAAAGGGCUUCCACACUAUUGAGUUCCUGUUUCUCUAUAUUCUUUAUUGUGUGGAUGCCCUAAAGGGCUUCCACACUAUUGAGUUCCUGUUUCUCUUUAUUCUUUAUUGUGUGGAUGCCCUAAAGGGCUUCCACACUAUUGAGUUCCUGUUUCUCUUUAUUCUUUAUUGUGUGGAUGCCCUAAAGGGCUUCCACACUAUUGUUUUCCUGUUUCUCUUUCUUCUUUAUUAUUAUGUGUGCCUAUGCCAAGAGGCACACAUAUUACUAUUCGUCGGAUUUAUUAUUCUUAUUAUGUGUGCCUAUGCCAAGAGGCACACAUAUUACUAUUCCUCGGAUUUAUUAUGUGUGCCUAUGCCAAGAGGCACACAUAUUACUAUUCGUCGGAUUUAUUAUUCUUAUUAUUAUUAUUAUUAUUAUUCUCCAUCUUCCGCCUAAAUUUCGGCACGUAUCACGCCCCGCAGUUUUGAGAAAAGCUUCAUAUAUGUUACCUCAUUUUGUGCGGCUGGAUCUGGAAUGGUGUGCUAUGACUUUUGGUGUUUAUGACUAUUAUAGUUUUUUAAAUAUUAAUAUUUUAGUGAAAAUUUUCCCACGCUCCUCUGCCAAACAGUUUUGACAAUAGGGGUACAUAUGUUACAUCAUUUUGUGCGGCUGGAGCUGGGCUAGUAUGGUGUGACUUUUGGUGUUUAUAACUUUUAUAGUUUUUGAAAUAUUUAGAUUUUAGUGCAAAUUUAGGCCAAUUUCUAGGCUCCUGAGAAAGAUUCUGCUUUUGGCACCAUAGAAACAGACUUCAUUUGUGGUGUGUUGGCUCUCUCUAGUGGUAUACCGGGAGUAGUACGGCCUAAAGGGUGCCAUGCUUGGUGAAAACUACAUAUCCCACAAUUCAUAGCAUGCCUCUACCGAGUCAAACAAUGGCGGACACCACUUCGUUUUAUAUGUCUUUUAUUCGUGUUUCUAGGUCACAAAAUACACUUUUAAGAUAUUUUCAGGCGAGAAUGUAGGUGUGUAAACUUCAAAUAUCUGCUCGUUUUAUCAAGACAUCCCAUAUUAGCGACAAUUCUCUUAAGUGUUGCUGAUAGCCGGCUAGCUAGCUAGCUUAGCUAGCUAGCGCCCCUUCGUGAAAAACCACCCAGGCUUGGCUGAUAGUGAGGUGGCUAAAAUUUGUUUAAUCGCCCGAUCGCUCGGCAAGGGUCUGUGUCUUAGCUGGACUUAUUUUUCGUUUAUAUGGGCCGAUGAUGCUGGUCGAUGUGGAAAAAAUAACUGAGUUGUUUGGUGGUGGAGCUACAACAGAGGGCAGCUAUCCACCGGUGUGUGACAGAAAGGACAUGUCGCGAACGAGACAUACAAGGCGGUGAGGCUACCGCCGAUCGUCCGGUGUUUGCUAACGCGGAGGUCAAUCGUGGAUCAGGGAAAGCAAAGGCAGGAGCGUGAGGUGAACUGAAUUUCAGGUAAGAAGUUAUGACCUGCACUCUAUUUGGGUCAGAUAUAAACCGAGUUUAGGUGUAGUUUAUUUAGCAACAGUUCUCAGCUUAGCUAGCUAGCGCGGCUAGCGACCCUUCGUGAAAAACCACCCAGGCUUGGCUGAUAGUGAGGUGGCUAAAAUUUGUUUAAUCGCCCGAUCGCUCG
This 1629-nucleotide long non-coding RNA is filed under the name Oreochromis niloticus (Nile tilapia). RNAcentral describes it as "lncRNA (ENSONIG00000041110.1)". The record is from RNAcentral. Lineage: Eukaryota; Metazoa; Chordata; Actinopteri; Cichliformes; Cichlidae.